CAUCAUUAUCCUAGUUUGAACGAUAUGAUGAUGAGUCACAAAGAGCUAUGCCCCAGGGGCCCCAGAUCCCUAUCUCUUCUUGUUAUAACCUCGUCUUUAGUAUGAAUCCAAGUCAACUAUUUUGAAGGCACACUAUCGCAGAUCAUCCCUUUUACCCAGACAACGUGCCUGUUUGAAACCGAGGAUCAUGCAUCUGCGAGCUAUCGUUGUCGUCGUGAUUCUGAGUGUUGCAGUUGCUGCAGCAGAGACUCCAACCUACAGGACGGAUCCAGAUUGUGGAAAAUGGCCGCCAAAAUACGACAGGUUAAACGAAUUUCUUCAGGACAAUAUCAAUCCUAUUGAUCCUAACUGUAAGGACAGGAAACCGAGACGUAACAAUAAACCACUGAGGUAUUACCCCAAACGACCCUACUACAGGAAGGGCUACAAGUAUGACACCCCUCUCCUGAAGGCAGCUGGUCCUCCAAGCUCAUGGUGAUCAGGAGGAAGGACUCAGCAGUCUUUGUCAUUAUCUAUCUGACACUUUUAGAGCGGAAUAAAUGUCAAAUGUGAAAAA
Molecule: long non-coding RNA, 556 nt
Organism: Haliotis rufescens (red abalone)
Lineage: Eukaryota; Metazoa; Mollusca; Gastropoda; Lepetellida; Haliotidae
Exons: 2
Source: RefSeq, a predicted model, not a curated record